Molecule: ribosomal RNA, 355 nt
Filed under: uncultured bacterium
Lineage: Bacteria
Description: bacterial SSU rRNA
Rfam family: Bacterial small subunit ribosomal RNA
Source: RNAcentral
AGAGUUUGAUCCUGGCUCAGGAUGAACGCUAGCUACAGGCUUAACACAUGCAAGUCGAGGGGCAGCAUCAUCAAAGCUUGCUUUGAUGGAUGGCGACCGGCGCACGGGUGAGUAACACGUAUCCAACCUGCCGACAACACUGGGAUAGCCUUUCGAAAGAAAGAUUAAUACCGGAUGGCAUAGUUUUCCCGACAUGGGAAUGAUUAUUAAAGAAUUUCGGUUGUCGGAUGGGGAUGCGUUCCAUUAGGCAGUUGGCGGGGUAACGGCCCACCAACCAACGAUGGAUAGGGGUUCUGAGAGGAAGGUCCCCCACAUUGGAACUGAGACACGGUCCAAACUCCUACGGGAGGCAGCA